UUGUGCGCGGGUGGGUGAGAGGCCCAGUCCGGGAGCCCUGCCUCCAACCCCCCAGAGGCUCCCCUUACUCCCGCCAGCUUACGGAGGGGAAAAGUGAGGCGCACAGCAGGUUGCCAUGUUGUGAGCUGCCACGUUGGAGGGGCCCACGUGGAAAGGAACUGAAUGCUGCCAGCGCGUACUGAGGGAGCUUGGAAGCUGGAUCCUUGCCCAGUCAUGCCUGCAGGAUAAUUUGAAACAUAUGAAGACACAGUUCUGCUGAGCCAGAAUGACAAGCUGGUGUUUGUUGAGUGCUGACUGUCCUGAGUGCCAGUCACCUCAUCUGACCCUCCCCACAACCCCGUAAGGUACUCCCUGGGCUGGAAUUUCCCCAACAUGUGCAGCCAGGGAGGGAACUACACCCAUCAGUGUCAAGGCCACAGUGCAUGGACCUCCUACCGUGAGCCAUGCCUCAUGCUGGGUGUGCCCUGACCUGGCCCCUCACACGGACCCUUCAGGUUUUACAGCCUGUUUUACAUGCCAGGAGACCCGGAUGCA
This is a non-coding RNA of Kogia breviceps (pygmy sperm whale), 534 nucleotides long. Lineage: Eukaryota; Metazoa; Chordata; Mammalia; Artiodactyla; Physeteridae. The record is from RefSeq and is a predicted model, not a curated record.